UGGGGGAUAGCAGCUGGAAACGGCUGGUAAUACCGCAUAAGCGCACAAUGUUGCAUGACAUGGUGUGAAAAACUCCGGUGGUAUAAGAUGGACCCGCGUCUGAUUAGCUAGUUGGUGAGAUAACAGCCCACCAAGGCGACGAUCAGUAGCCGACCUGAGAGGGUGACCGGCCACAUUGGGACUGAGACACGGCCCAGACUCCUACGGGAGGCAGCAGUGGGGAAUAUUGCACAAUGGAGGAAACUCUGAUGCAGCGACGCCGCGUGAGUGAAGAAGUAAUUCGUUAUGUAAAGCUCUAUCAGCAGGGAAGAUAGUGACGGUACCUGACUAAGAAGCUCCGGCUAAAUACGUGCCAGCAGCCGCGGUAAUACGUAUGGAGCAAGCGUUAUCCGGAUUUACUGGGUGUAAAGGGAGUGUAGGUGGCCAUGCAAGUCAGAAGUGAAAAUCCGGGGCUCAACCCUGGAACUGCUUUUGAAACUGUAAGGCUGGAGUGCAGGAGGGGUGAGUGGAAUUCCUAGUGUAGCGGUGAAAUGCG
Molecule: ribosomal RNA, 535 nt
Filed under: uncultured bacterium
Lineage: Bacteria
Description: bacterial SSU rRNA
Rfam family: Bacterial small subunit ribosomal RNA
Source: RNAcentral